This 546-nucleotide ribosomal RNA is filed under the name uncultured Glomus. RNAcentral's name for it is "SSU rRNA". It matches the Rfam family "Eukaryotic small subunit ribosomal RNA", at positions 548 to 1098 of the family's 1831-position model. Lineage: Eukaryota; Fungi; Glomeromycota; Glomeromycetes; Glomerales; Glomeraceae. The record is from RNAcentral.
UUGGAGGGCAAGUCUGGUGCCAGCAGCCGCGGUAAUUCCAGCUCCAAUAGCGUAUAUUAAAGUUGUUGCAGUUAAAAAGCUCGUAGUUGAAUUUCGAGACCGGCUUAUUGGUCGUGCUUUUGUACGUACUGGUAUAAUCGGUUUCUCCUUUCUGACGAACUAUAAUGCCAUUAAUUUGGUGUUAUAGGGAAUCAGGACUGUUACUUUGAAAAAAUUAGAGUGUUUAAAGCAGGCUCACGCUUGAAUACAUUAGCAUGGAAUAACGGAAUAGGACGUUUGAUUCUAUUUUGUUGGUUUCUAGGAUCGACGUAAUGAUUAAUAGGGAUAGUUGGGGGCAUUAGUAUUCAAUUGUCAGAGGUGAAAUUCUUGGAUUUAUUGAAGACUAACUACUGCGAAAGCAUUUGCCAAGGAUGUUUUCAUUAAUCAAGAACGAAAGUUAGGGGAUCGAAGACGAUCAGAUACCGUCGUAGUCUUAACCAUAAACUAUGCCGACUAGGGAUCGGAUGAUGUUAAUUUUAAUGACUCAUUCGGCGCCUUACGGGAAAC